This 1091-nucleotide long non-coding RNA is filed under the name Homo sapiens (human). Its description in RNAcentral is "HSALNT0060401". Lineage: Eukaryota; Metazoa; Chordata; Mammalia; Primates; Hominidae. The record is from RNAcentral.
CUCCCUCCCUUUCACCCUCUAGCAGUGACCAGGCUUGGCUCUAAGUCUUAAGGGUAUGCUUCCCUGCACUGUAGCCUUAGAGGAGGCAGAGGGUCCCUGGGAUUUCUGGUCCUGAUGGAUACAGGUGCCUGCCCCUCAGUCCUGUCUGCAAGUCCAUCUUGAUCCAUUGUCUCAUGCAAGGCUUGUAUGCCUAAAGCCAAACCUGCUUUGUAUAGAGGUGGAAACAGACCCAGGCAAGCGCAUAUGGCUUGACAUAGGGUGGGCCAGGAGGCAGAUUCUCAUCAGAUUUGGAAGGAAGCAACCAUUUGGACUGCUGAUCUGCUGACUCACCUGAUUGGCAUGAAGCAGCACCUGGACCUGCAAUUGCUGUGCUUUUCCCGGACUCUCCUUCAGUUUUUUCUGACUCCUGGGGCAGGUGUGUGCACGUCUAGCUCUGUGGCUAAGGGUUCCAGCUUCUACCUUCAUCAGUGAGGUCAGAGACAAAAAGAAUAGACACAGGUUUCAGUCUGUUGUCACGGGUCCUCCCUGUGCUAGUGGGGUUUCAGUAUGCUCAUGUGCUCAUGGUGUUCCCCUCCUGACCACCUGCCUGUGGACUUCAAGCUCCGUCAGUCUUGGAGAUACAGCCUUACAGAAACUGCUUAAUCAGCCCCUACAAUUGUGCAAGCCAGUUCCCUGGUUUUCCUUCUCCAUUGAGUUGACAUGGGAACCUGAAGCCCUGCUGACUUCUCCGGCCUCAUGCCCUGUCACAUUGCCCCCACUGCUUUUACCACUACACCUUUCACCAUUCCCCAAACCCAGCAGCCUGUGCUACUGUGGGGCUUCCAGUCUGGAAUGUCCCUACCAGGAACUUUCUGGUUUAUCUGUCCUUCUCCUGCAAGUGACUGAGUCCCAUCGCUGCCUCUGCUCCCAUUCACCCCUAGCUUGGCACAGUCCAAGAGAAGGGGCCCAAUCCAGUAGGUGUUGAAUGAAUGACUGUGGACUAACCCCUUGGCAUAUGAGAUGUUUUGUUCUCCCAUACCUCUGCAAGUAUCACCGCCCCCAGCUUGCAAGUGUGAGUAGCCCUAACAGCAGUUGCUGUGGGGAGAGCCAGG